This 1009-nucleotide long non-coding RNA is filed under the name Homo sapiens (human). RNAcentral describes it as "HSALNT0129284". The record is from RNAcentral. Lineage: Eukaryota; Metazoa; Chordata; Mammalia; Primates; Hominidae.
AGCUAGUAUCCGUGGUGGAGUGCGGAGUGGAUGAAUGAAUGCCAUGGGACUUACUCGUUGAACUUGAAGUGGCCACUACCACCUGAUCACUCUGGGAUCCUCAUACUGAAGGACGAGGACAUGAGGCAUGUGUUCCCCCAGGAGCUGCAAGUCCAGCCAGGGGAUCUGAGUAGCAGCAGCAGAAGGGAUCAGUCCAACAGCAUGCAUCACAGCCUGAGGCCAAAGUUCAAUCCUACUCCUACUCAGCUGCGUGGACAUCUCUGCAGCAGAUGGUCAUGAUGCAACGUGCCACAUCUCCUUGAUCCACUUGAUUUCAGCACAGUGGUGGUGGACAGUUCCAUGCAUUUUGCAGCAUUCCAUCUCCAACAUAAGGUCUCUGCCUUGCUCACACAAGCCUUCCUCUGAAGUUCAAAAGGCACUCAGCAGCCACCUGUAGGUGCAACCUGGAAGUGCAGAAAAGGUAAUGAGGGCUUAACCAAUGGUAAAAGAUCCGUGGGCAAACACUCCAGCUCCCCUAUCCUAGUUCUGCGCUGUUCCUCUGAGGGUUCCCAGGACUGAGCCCCAGUUGCCCAAAGCAGUAACCAAUCAUUAACAGACCCUUUAUUAGCUUUUCUCCCUUCCUGUUUUACUCUUUCCACUUCCUCACUCCUGGCUCCUGAGCUUACUUCCCAAAUAACCUUCCUAUACUCAAGCUCUUAUCUCAGGCUUUGACUUCAAAGAAACCCAAACCAAGGUCAGUCUCCUCCUUAAUCCACUUCCCCUGCAGCUCUCACUGUUUUGAUGUCUUCUUGCGCAUUGUACAUUAAUCAUGACCAGCCAGCCCCACCUUCUCUUUCUUUGAAACACCCUCCCCUCCCACUUCAUUGCUCAGUCAGUCUUCUUUGUAACAGCAUUAGCAGUUGCUAAUGGCCGGUUCACCAUCUUUGCUGUCCUGGAGUCUUGAGGGCAGGAAGUAGCUGGCAGUAUUAACCACUCUCUUGGCAUGCAUCAUGUUAUGAGGUAGCUUCCU